GGGGCUUCGAAAGAGGGCGGGCUGCAAGGGGUGGGGAGGUGGCGCACCUGGACGCGGAGUGCUUAGUAACGAACGAGUGGUAGGGGUCUCCGCGGAGGACGGGAGGGACUCCAAAAAGAGGUGAGGCUGCCGUGGGCGUUCUCAAUACUGACCGUCAGCGAAUUAAGAACUGGGCGGCGAGCGGCGGAGCCGUGAGCGGACGGACCUUGCGAGGUGCGGUAGCGGGAACGCCGGUUUCAGAGAACCCCCGACCACACGCCCGCCCCUCAGCCCGAGCCUUCUGCGCGCGGGAUCUGGGCCGUGGGGGCGGCCGCCGCGAGCAUGCGCAUGGGCAUUGCGGCGGGCGAGUCCGGAGUCCGGGCGCGGGGACACGGGACGCGGGGCGGCGAGUAGCGGGGUCCUCUGCCGCCCCGCGCGCCCAUGUACGCCUUCUACUCGCUUCUCAUCUACAUUUUCUACAGCCUUUUCCGCAGGGAUGGAGGUGCUACGGCGACCGCCGACCCUGGGGACCCCGCCCAGGUGAGCAGUGUGGGCCUGCCGCGCCGGUCGCCCCCCACCAGGAGAUGGGGUGGUGGUAGGCCUGCCCAGCUUACAUCCUCAGGACGCUGGCCCUGAGGGACGCGGCGGUGCAGAGGACCCUGCUCUUGGUCCGGGCAUUGGGAGCUUAGAUCUCGGCCCCAACCAUUCUGGCCCAGUUCCGGGAGGGAAGGAGCCCCACAGGCUGCCUGCCUCCUCCUCAGGGACGCCCCCUGCUCCCUUCCUAGAGAGUCCACUGCAAGCCCCGGGGUCGUCGUCGCCCCGAUCAGCUUACGCCAGAACUGUGGACCGAGCUGACAGGCCUGGCCGGUAAGUGCAGGCCAGAGUGCCUUGGGGUCCUGGAGGGAUCCUCGCUGUCUGAGGGAGGGAGGGAUUCCGUGACCUCAUUGGGAGGGAAAAGAGGCCCAGUCUGCAACGAUGACUUGAAAUGCCCCCUCCUUCUACUACUUGGCCUAGCGGGCAGCUCCGAGUCUGAGGAUGGGCCUGAAGCCGGAGCCGAGGACCGCCCAGCAGAGGUGUCACUGGAAGAGGCGCUUAUGCGCCUUGCUGAGUUCCUCUCGGUCCAGUUGGGGGCAGAAGAGAGCUGCGGGAAUCCUCCUGAGUUGGGCAAGGUGAGCAGGGCAGAGGAGCUCUCCAGCAAUCACUUCUCUUUCUUUAGCCCUUGUGACUCCCACAGUCCUGCCCCAUUCCAUCUCUGCUCUUAAUCUGCUUUCCUUAGUCCAGGGGACUGAAUUUAGGACUCUCCACAGAUUAGCUACAUCCCUGCUUUUUGUUUGUUUGUUUGUUUUGAGACAGGGUCUUGCUAAGCUGCCGAGGUGAGUUUCAAACUUGCCAUUCUGCCUCAGCCUUCCCAGUAUCUUGGAUUACAGAUGUGGGCCACCAUUCCAGGUUUCUUGCUCUGAUUCUUAUCUCCUCACAGCCUGGGGAGGUCCCUCCACUGUUGACAGUGACCAGUCAGCUCUUGGCUCUUCUGGCAUGGAUUCGGAGCCCCAGGGGGAGGCAGGUCCUGCUCCAGGGGACUCAUCCAGCCUCCAACGUGCAGCCCCCAACUCCAGAUGGUUUGUAAAGGGUAUCUUCUGUAGAGGAAGGGAAUCCCUUUAGAAUCUAGGUGGCGUACAAUCUGGGAUCCCUAGCCUAGCUUUGCUCCCCAGAAUUCAGGCCACCUCAGUACUAACUGAGCUCGCUCCUCUUUAGGAGCCCUUUCUCAAGAAGACAGCCCUUACCAGCCUACCCCUAUCCAAGAGGAGGUGCCAAGGGGUGAGGCCCAGGGGCAACAGUUGCCUCAAUUGGAGGAGGAGCAGAGAGCUUGGCAGAGGCUGGAACAGCUCAUCCUUGGACAGGUGAGGGGCCCAGAAGCAGCAGGGACUGGAGGGAGUGAGACACAAAAAAGGAGUUUCAUCCCACUCUUUUGCAGCUGGAAGAACUGAGGCAGCAGCUGGAGCAACAGGAGGAGGAGCUGGGCAGACUGCGCCUGGGAGUGGUGAGGCUGUUGGAGCAGGGGCUGGGAGAGGGCAAGAGGUUGCAGGAUUUUCAUAUGGUUCCUAAGUGCAGCUAUCUCUGCCAGGGGGCAACAGACUCAGAGAAAAGGGUUCAGCAUCUCACACUGGAGAAUGAGGCCCUGAAACAGAGCCUGAGCCUCACUCGGGACCUCCUGCUGCAUUGGGGCCCAGGCCCCCCCACCAGAGCCCCACAGGUAUCCUGCCUCUUUGUUGCUCCUCUUUGUAUACACCUGGCAUUAGCAACAGUGCCCAAGCCUCCUUAGGUCUUUGAGCUUGCUGAAGCAGUGGGAUUUAUCAGGGGGUCGUCUCUAAUAGGCAGGUCCUGGGGUGGUCUAUGCAGAGCAAGCCCAUCAGGGAGGCUGAUGCAUCUGGGAGAACCCCCACUUCAUAAUUCUCUCAGUGACCAAUUCUAGGAAAGUAGAGGGACUAGGGAAAGGAGUUCUGCCUGGAGUUGGGAGGCAUGGGUUUGUCUGUGCCUGCCACUCUUGACUUGUUUUUCUAUCUGUGAAAUGGAUCAUGGAAUGCCCCUCCCUGAGUUCACACCUGACUUGAUGGCCUACCUGGCUCCCAAUUCCUGCAGGAGGAGGCAGAGGCACUGUUGGAGCUCCAGGGCCGGCUUCAGGAGGCCCAGGACACCACAGAAGCCUUACGAGUCCAGGUGGGCUCGGGGCCCAGGGACAAGGAGGGCUGGGACACUGGGAAGGGGGCAUCUGGGAUAGGGCCUGGUAAGUGCCUGUUUCCUUAGUGACAGGGGUGGGGUUCGGUGGGGCAGCUGGGGGUGCAGGAGGUGCAGCUGCAGGGCCUUCGAGGGGCCCUUCAGCAGCUUCAGCAGGAGACGGAGCAGAACUGCAGACGGGAACUACAACAGGUGCAUGGGCAACUGGCAGGUAAGGUUUGGGAGCAUGUGGCUCAUGGAAGGCCCUGGGUUCUGGGCUUUCCCUCUCAACUAUUUUCCCACUUCAGGACUUCGGACCCGGAUGGCCAGCCUGCGCCAGGGCUGUGGUGACCUCAGAGGACUGGUCAGCACCUUUACCCAGAGCUGUCAGGGUUCGCUGAGUGAGGCCCAGGGCCAGGUCAGGAACCCUCUUCUCUUCACAUCAUCUGUCUGUCUGGGUAGCCUGUUCACUGUUCUUCCAGGGGAGUUCCUAUUAUUUCUGGAGCUUCCUGGCUCUAAGGAAUGCUCAUACUUGGGGGUCAGUUGUAGGCUUUUAGACUAGAAGAGCUUAUUUGUGACUUAUGAUCUCAUGUCUAUCCUGUGCAAACUGACAGUUGCUGAGAAGCCUAGAAGGAUAGAUAUGAUGUCCUUGUCAGGCCAACCAAAGGAUGUCCCCAGGGGACCAGAGCCACUGAAAGUUGUGAAUCACUGCAGCUGGGGGCUACAAGGGCUCUUUAUUGCUCCCAGCAUUCCACCCUGCUUGGAGACUCUGGGACACCUGUCUUUGUCAUCCUCAAAUCCAUGUUCCCUCAGGUAUCCUGGGCCCUGGGGGCAUUGUCAGCUGGAGGGGCUGGGACUCAGCUCCCUGAGGGGCAACAGGGGCCCCCAACUGGAUGCCCAGGGCGGCUGCUGGAGCUUAAGGGUAUGGCAAACUUGGGGAGCAGAGUGGCAGGGAGGGUAGGCUGGAGAGAGUGGAAGCUUUUUAUGCCUCAGUGGUGAAAAGGCAAUCUGCUGACCUGAUCCCCACUGCAGGGAAUAUUCGGGUGCUAUGUCGGCUGAGGCCAGGUACACCCUGCAGCCUGGUGAGUGUGGAGGCUGGACCAGGGGGCACAGUCACCACCUGCUAUCGAGGGCGCCAGCGUCGUUUCCACCUGGACUGGGUCUUCUCUCCAGAUGCCAGCCAGGAGGAGGUGACAGCCACCCUUGCACCUAUUCUGACCCUUCCUCAGAGUCUCCCAGAGUCCAGAAAAGGCUCCUUCCCCUUCCAGUCUGUCCACCUAUAGAAGGGAGGGUGAAUCAGUUUUAGCCUAAAAGGGAAGGGAGCAGCUAGAGGGUUGGGGAGUGGCAGCCCAGCUGGACACUAAGGAAAAUGAAUCUAUCUGAGGUUUACAGUUACUGCUCAUGUAGAACUGGCCACAGAGUACAGCUGGGUGCCACAGUGGUAGGAACAGUGCCAUGACCCACAAGUGAUGCCUCCUCUAAGGCUUCCAUGAGAGAUCAGUGCUCCUCCCUGGGGUCCAGGCUCUUCCCAGCUGGGAUUGCAUUAGCCCUCCUUGCUUUGUGGCCCUAAUGCAGGUUGGGGGCCAUGGGUGAGCAGGCCAGUGUCCAGCCCCAGCACUCCCCGACUCCCUUGCUCAGAUCCCAUUUUUUCUCCUCUUUUUUUUUUUCUGCCAGACACCAGUAGAAAAGCAGGGCUCAAGUCCCAGCCUGCCGUCACCUUUCUAAUACACGGUUUCCAUCUACAUAUAAACUUUGCUCCUGGAGCUUCUAUAACUAAAAUGGAGGCUCAGAGCUGGGAGAGGGUUAGGUAAGGGACAGGGCUGGCAGUGAUGCACACCCAGGUUGCCUGCUGGCCCGACAGGUCAUUGCACUGUGACCAAGAACCUCUCCUGUGUCUCUCAUUUCUGCACCACCACCUGCCGUGCCUCCUUUGCCCAAUCGUGGACUCUUAUCCCCCAUACUGGCAAUUUUAGAUUAUGGCUUCAUGGCCAUUAGCCAAGACUUUAAGCAGAGGUGACAGCCACCCAGUUACCAGCAACCUUCUACAGUGAAAGUUGGUUAUGUCAUUGCCCAAAAGGCCACUCUUUGUUGGUCAUGGUGGUGCACAUCUGUAAUACCAGCUACUCAGGAGGGUGAGGCAGGAGGAUUUUCAAGUUUAAGGUCAACUUGGACAACUUAGUGAGACCUUAUCUCAGAAUGAAAAAUAAUAAGAGCUGAGAUGUAGCUCAGCUCUCAGGUAGAGAAUCCCUGGGUUCAAUCCCCAAUACUACAAAAAUAAAGCAAAAAAUGAAAGCAACUAUUAUGUCUAUCCAUCUGCCCCUCAGUCACCUCUUUGCUCCCCUCAGGGCCAAGGUUCCAGUAGUCCUGGCUGGUUACUACCCUCCAUACCCCCAGAGCCUUUUCUGGUCUCAUCCUUCUCAUCCUUUGUGUGCCAAGUGCUGCUCUGGACUGCCUGGACACUGCCCACUAAGCCUCAAGACAGGUGCCAUAGAGAGGAACAACACAGAAGAGCCACAAAGAAUGAGUAAUUUGCUUCCAGUCACAUCUAGGGUUGGGACCAGGCAGUCAAGCUCCAGCACCUGGACCCUUGACCAGUGCUCCCCAGGACCACCUAAAUGGUCAUCAGGACUCCACAUUAUUUGCACAGGCUGUUCCCUUUUUGUCACGUCUCUUUCCUUCUUUGCCUCACCCAUUAUUGCAAAUACCACCUUUUCUAGGGAGGCAGAAGGUAUCUUCUGGGCAGCCCCCUGUGCUCCCCUGGAGGCGUUUCCCUAGCAAAUUGUGUUCUACACAAACUUUUUUCACUGUGCUUUCCACCUUUCAAGGUCCUAAACAGAGACCUUGGAAAGGGCUCAAGACACUUUUUCCACCUCUCCUUCAUUCAGGUCUUUGGAGAGCUGGAACCAGCUGUGCUGUCCUGCCUCCAAGGAUACAGUGUCUGCAUCUUCACCUAUGGCCAGACCGGGACUGGAAAGACAUACAGCAUGGAGGUGGGGUGGAGCUCACACGGGGGGGGGGGGGAGGCCUCAGAGGCUUGAAUGUGAGCCCAAUGGGGUAUUCCACACCACCUUCAGGGCCCACCUGAGGACCCAGGCAUAGCUCCCAGGGCGCUGCAGUCACUGUUCAGGGAAAUGGGGACUGGAGGGCAGCACCGUGUGACCCUCAGCAUGGUGGAGAUCUACAAUGAGGCAGUCAGGUCAGGGCUGUGCUGUAGGGGUGGUGGGCUACUAUUUGCCCUGGCCCAAGACUCCUGCUACCCUUAGAAUCCUGGAACCAAACUCUCCUGGUCUCCCCAGGGACCUCCUGGCCCCAGGACCUCCAGAGCGCCUAGCUGUGAGGCAGGGCCCAGCAGGACAGGGGGGAAUCCAAGUAGCUGGCCUCACCCACUGGGACGUGCCCAACCUGGAGACUUUGCACCAGGUAAAGAUGCCCUCUAAGGCCUCUCCUCUUGCUCCCAUCUGGGAUUGGGGACUGUGUACCAGCCGCGGCCUCAUCGCUCCUAACAGAUGUUGAGCCUGGGGAGAAGUAACCGGGCCACUGCCGCCACUUCCAUGAACCCACGCAGCUCCCGAUCCCAUGCUCUCGUUACACUGACGCUGUGUGCAGCUUCUCCACCGAGCGCCCCAGGCACUGCAGGUAGCAAACACUGCAAUGCCUGAGCUUUUGCAGGGUUUCCAGUGUGCCUGAAGCCUGGCCUCCCUUCAUGUAGGGCUUGCUCACCUUUGCAGGCACGCUGCACCUGGUGGACCUGGCGGGAUCUGAGCGUGCUUGGAAGGCGGGAGCUACUGGCACGCAGCGAGGAGAUCCCAACAGUGCCCAGCGUCUGCGGGAGGCCCAGACUAUCAACCGCUCGCUGCUGGCGCUGGGAGGCGUGAUGGCUGCGUUGCGUGCCCGCCGGUCCCACGUGCCCUUCCGCGACUCGCAGCUCACACGUCUGUUGCAGCCUGCGCUUGGUCCGGGUACCACUGCUGUGCUGCUUCUACAGGUGUGCGCCCCGGCAGCAGCGGGUGGAGUGCAGGAGGGUCCUUUGUGUGUGAAGCACCGCAGGCUGGCCCACAAGCACUUUUCCUCCUCAGAUCUCUACGCGGCCAGAGGAUCUCGGGGAGACCGUCUGUUCGCUCAAGUUUGCGGAGCGAGUGGGUCAGGUGGAGCUGGGACCAGCACGGCGCCGCAAGGCACCACGCUCCGAGACCCCAUCCUCCCUCAGUACCGACACCCCACUUACUGGGACCCCCUGCACUCCUACGAGGUCUCCUGUCAGCCCUCCAAGCCCCAGCCCUGACAGCGGCUCAUGCUCUGCCCUAGGGCCCUCAGGGGACCUUCCCCCCUAGUCUUGGGUGGAGGCCCUGCACAAGAGACCUGGGGAUAUAACUCUGCUGGCAGAGGCAGCAGUACAGUUCUUAUAUCGGGUCUCCCAAGACAAUCUUCUUGACUUCUGGGGGCCUACUUCUCUCCAAACUUCCAGAGUUGCUCCCCACAACCCCAGCCAGAGAAGAGCCUGGAGAAUUGAUUUUGCCCCACCCCACUGAGUCAGAGGCCCUCAGCUCCCUCCUUAUCACCAUUUGCCGUUAUCACAGCACACAGCAGGGGAUCCCAGAGCCACAGGAACCAGACAUGACUCUGGCCAAGGAGUUUCCCAGGUCACCACCUCUGCUCCAAAAAUAAGACUAGGCAUUAAAAUGCUGUAAAUUCUUUUAAUGUUACACCACUACCACCACUUCAAGUCUAUGUAGGGUCCAGUUUUUAUUCCCUAACCCUUUCCCCAAAAGGUGCUACCUCCUCAGACAGUUGAGGGAUGGCAGGACUUCAGGCUGGACCCACCAUUAAGGAGCUCCCUCCCCCAGCCUGGAGCCAGGAGGGAGGUGACAGAUGGUGAUGGAUGAAUAGAUAGAUGGGCUAGGCCUGAAGAUAGAAUCAUGAUUUGCUACUCCAGGUUGAGUCCUGCUCCUUUAGCAUUGCCCCUGGGUGUAGGGGGAGGCAGAGAGGCAAGACUGACCAAGCCCAGGUUGGUGCCCAGCUGAGUGGCAGCUUUUUCUGGAGCAGCCCAAUAAACAUUGUGGACUCUCAUUAAGCAAGGCUGGAGCCUAUUGGGGCUACAGACAUCUUCCUACCUUGGUUCCCCAUCAAGGAGAUGGGGAGAGAAGCAACCCCUGCUCUAGAAAGCUUCAGAGGCUGUACCAGGAAAGCAGCCAGCCUGGAGCAGGGGCAGCCAUGUCACGAGGGUGGCUGACCCACACAUCAUAGAUGCUCUUGUUGGGUGGUACUCCCUGGAAGAGAGUGUCUAGAUCCCAGAGCAGCCUUGGGGACCCUUGGGAUUCAGAGGCCACCCCCCAGUAGGCUGGGCUGGUUGAAGGUGGACACUGGGGACAGGAAGUGGAUGGUAGUGGGGCUAAAGGCAUUACCACAUUGGGUGUGUAGAUGGGCAAGUAGGAGGUGGGCAACUGUCCCCACAGGGAGGCCCUGCAUCCCCCACUGGACAGUACCCC
This 8177-nucleotide long non-coding RNA is filed under the name Marmota monax (woodchuck). The record is from RNAcentral. Lineage: Eukaryota; Metazoa; Chordata; Mammalia; Rodentia; Sciuridae.